UACGUAGGGGGCAAGCGUUGUCCGGAUUUAUUGGGCGUAAAGAGCGUGUAGGCGGCCACACAGGUCCGCUGUGAAAACUCGAGGCUCAACCUCGAGCUGUCGGUGGAAACCGUGUGGCUAGAGUCCGGAAGAGGAGAGUGGAAUUCCUGGUGUAGCGGUGAAAUGCGCAGAUAUCAGGAAGAACACCCGUGGCGAAAGCGGCUCUCUGGAACGGUACUGACGCUGAGACGCGAAAGCGUGGGGAGCGAACAGG
Molecule: ribosomal RNA, 253 nt
Filed under: uncultured bacterium
Lineage: Bacteria
Description: partial 16S ribosomal RNA
Rfam family: Bacterial small subunit ribosomal RNA
Source: RNAcentral